AGAAAAGAAGAAGAGUAGCCCCCAAAACGCUUUCGAUCAAGUGGUCCUUGCAUGCAGAGUUCGUGUUGCUUCCGUUUUGUAGGCCAAAGAGGUUCUCUCUUUUGUGUGCGUGUAUGAGUUUGUUUUGUGUGUUUGUGGUUACGUCUAUGUUUUUGUUUUUGUAUGUCAUCUCGUUUUGGGAAUGCUUCUACGUGUCUGUACAUAUUUUGCUGCAAUGAUAAUAAAAAUGUGUAGAUGCUUAACAUCACUUCUUUUUGGACACCACAGUCUCUUUGGAGGCCAUAUUGAGAGUGACUGCAAAGACACUUUACUCUUUUCUUGAAUUGAUAAAUUAUCUCCAAUCCAAAUUGUCAAAGCCUAGCUUGAAAAAAAGAGGAAAUUGACAAAUGGCCAAUUGUGUUUAGUUGAGGAAGCUUGCAGGGAUUAUGAUGUGGAUAAUGUAAUAGAUAUGAGAUCAUUUAUUUUGAACCAUACAAUAUUCUUUAACAACAUUGAGUUUAGUCCGGCUACCACAGCACAGAGAAAAGCAUGAUAAAGCACCUUCUUCCUUGACACUUUACCUAUCUUUUGUGAGUCAAUGCCUAGUAUGCUGUAAUUGGAUUAGACACAACUGUCCUAGUAGCAUCAAUCAUCAAAUAAAUCCAGUUUCUUCCGAACCAAGGCAUACAUAGAUCACUGAAUUAGUUGCUGAUGUGAUUAAGGAUUGUUCCAACUUAGAAGUGGAUUUUUACUUUUAUGAACAAAUUGUAUAAAUAUUUCAGUCCUUGGAAGAUUUUUCAAACCAGAGAUAGAUAUCACAUAUGAAGUCACACUUUGUUUUGUAAUUACCGCUUUGUUUCUGUUAAUGAUUUGGUUAGGUGAAAUAGUAGUACACUCACUUAUUUCGUUUAGGGGUAGUUUCGUCCAUUUGUUAAAAAUAACACUGAUAGGAUAACAUUUAAGGUUUUGACAAUUCACAGAGUGUGACUUUCUUAUGUGAUGCAUGCAGCAUGCUGCUUGGUAAGAUGAGAUAUAAUAUCAUUGAUUAUUAGUGUUCCUUGAUGCAUGCACCUUGUUAAAUGUUGUCAUAAUAUAACAUAUUGUUUUCGACUUUUCGUGGCUCAUGUCCCCUUGAAAGACUUGUUGUGAUCUUAUUUAUAGUUUUAGAGAUAUAUGGUUGGAAGGAGUCAUAUGUUAUGGUUGUGAAGUGAAUGUAUGAGGUUAUUUUACUAACGAACGUGGAACCUUUGGGAAUAUUAACGGAGCAAACGCAGGAGGAAAGGAACCUUUUCGAUUUAGGAGAAAGUCGACGUCGGACGCGUUCGAUAAGGGAGCAGGAUCAGAGAAUGGACCAAGGAACUCUCCUCCUACUUACGGCCUGUGAUCUCUAACUCAAAUCUCAAAAGAGAGAGAGAAGAAACAGAAUAGCCCCCAAAACGCUUUCGUUUUGACGACACAUCAAAGUGGUCCUUUCCUUGCAUGCAGAGUGCGCGUGUAUGAGUUUGUUUUGUGUGUGUUGUGAAUACGUCUCUGUUUUUACUCUUUUGUUUUUGUACGUCAUCUCGUUUCUACGUGUCUGUACAUUUUUUGCUGCGAUGAUGAUAAUAAAAAUACAUAGAUGCUU
Molecule: long non-coding RNA, 1603 nt
Filed under: Brassica napus (rape)
Lineage: Eukaryota; Viridiplantae; Streptophyta; Magnoliopsida; Brassicales; Brassicaceae
Description: long non-coding RNA (BNAP_LNC002421)
Source: RNAcentral